Molecule: ribosomal RNA, 253 nt
Filed under: uncultured bacterium
Lineage: Bacteria
Description: partial 16S ribosomal RNA
Rfam family: Bacterial small subunit ribosomal RNA
Source: RNAcentral
UACGUAGGUGGCAAGCGUUGUCCGGAUUUAUUGGGUUUAAAGGGUGCGUAGGCGGCUUUGUAAGUCAGUGGUGAAAUAUGGCAGCUCAACUGUCAGGGUGCCAUUGAUACUGCGGAGCUUGAGUACAGAUGAGGUAGGCGGAAUUGACGGUGUAGCGGUGAAAUGCGCAGAUAUCAGGAGGAACACCAAUUGCGAAGGCAGCUCGCUGGGACGUUACUGACGCUGAGACGCGAAAGCGUGGGGAGCAAACAGG